CGAACCGCGGCGGGAGAGCUCCCGUCGGCCGCCCUCGGUCCACACCGGGAGGGCGGCAGCGCGGGGCGCCGAAGGAGCAACCCUCCCCGGGAAUCUCUCAGGCACCCGUACCGUCACGGCGAG
Molecule: non-coding RNA, 123 nt
Filed under: Cellulomonas flavigena
Lineage: Bacteria; Bacillati; Actinomycetota; Actinomycetes; Micrococcales; Cellulomonadaceae
Also listed under: 1 other name
Description: Glycine sequence
Rfam family: Glycine riboswitch aptamer
About the family: This family represents the bacterial glycine riboswitch. Glycine riboswitches usually consist of two metabolite-binding aptamers domains with similar structures in tandem.
Source: RNAcentral